RNAcentral lists this ribosomal RNA (266 nucleotides) under uncultured bacterium. Its description in RNAcentral is "partial 16S ribosomal RNA". It matches the Rfam family "Bacterial small subunit ribosomal RNA", at positions 793 to 1055 of the family's 1533-position model. The record is from RNAcentral.
GUCCACGCCGUAAACGAUGGGUACUAGGCGUCGGGGGGAGCGACCCCCCUCGGUGCCGUCGCUAACGCAGUAAGUACCCCGCCUGGGGAGUACGGUCGCAAGACUGAAACUCAAAGGAAUUGACGGGGGCCCGCACAAGCGGUGGAGCAUGUGGUUUAAUUCGAAGCAACGCGAAGAACCUUACCUGGGCUUGACAUGUACGGGAAAGCCGGUGGAAACAUCGGCCCCUCUUCGGAGUCAGUGCACAGGUGCUGCAUGGCUGUCGU